UUUAGUUGAUGCUACCUGUGAGGGCUGAUGUGUGAGCUGAGAACACUGCCCUCUGUAGGUAGGUUGAGGGAGAGUUUCCUGGUAGAUGUGUGGUGGGACUGCUUGGUGUGUGCCGAUGUAAUGAGCUGUGUCCUGAUUUACCCUGACUGAUAUGCUCUGUAGGCUCAUGUUGAAGAGGCUGCAGGGACGCACAGCGGGGAGUACGUGUGGGAUCCAGACCACUUCUUGCAUGUGGUGUGGUCGGCCUGCUGGUGGUGGACACUCAAGUGUUUGGAAGAUUGUCUUUUUUCUUGCAGUGUAAGUUGCAGCGUUAGUGAUCACAGUGAGCUCACGUGGUGGUAUCUAGUGGAGUCUGUGAUAGAAUCUCCCUGCGGUACUCCAGCACCAAGUAUAUCAUUUUUAAAUAAAUAUGAUUGGUGAACUGAAUGCACGUCUCCUGCUCUCCUUGAAGCAACACAUUUGAA
Labrus bergylta (ballan wrasse) is the source of this 464-nucleotide non-coding RNA. NCBI's taxonomy places the organism in Eukaryota, Metazoa, Chordata, Actinopteri, Labriformes, Labridae. The record is from RefSeq and is a predicted model, not a curated record.